UUUCUCAUGAUCAGUUUAUCUGGCUCCAGAGCAAGCCGCUGGCCAGCCAUGCACUACCGCCAGACCAGCGCGAGCCCUGGCCGCUGCCUCCGGGAGCUUCGGGGUUAAUGUUUGUGCGUCAAAGUUACGUGGAGAGAAGGGGCCACAGUGCGGAUGGGGGUGGUGGAGCAGUCAGACCUUCUUUUAACGUCUUCACCUGCCGGCGCAACUGGGGAAGUUUCAAGACGGAAGGGAGACAGAAGCGCCCCUGGGGAAGGUGAAGGAGCAGUCUCGUGACUGACAGCAAUGAGUUCUGCAUCCUGAAGCCGCCCAGGCGGGACGUGGAGCUGGCGCCUGGCGGUGGACCCCGCCGGGAGGGACUGAGGCUGGCCCGCUUUCCUGGGGUUUGCAGAGCCACAGGCUGUUUACAAACUGCCUUUUCUGCCCACUGGCUCUCUUAAUGCUCACGACAGCCCAGACAGCAGUCCCACUGAGUGUCUAUUCAACAUCAACUCUGUGCCCGGUAGAGGAGGCAAGGCAUAGAGAACAACUGGAGAUGAAUCAACAGCUGCAUCAGGUUCAGCAGACAUUCAGCUGUAUCUCGCCCUACCCUGGGUGGGGCAGGCAUCUCGUUGGUUCUUGCAGGUUGGAUGUCUACAAGCCUCCAGGGAAUGAACAAAUAACAAAGGAAAUGGCUGACAAAGGGAAAAUUAUGAUGUGAGAAUUUCACUAAAGAAUUUAGCCCACUUUACUCUGUUCGCAAAGGCCCUGGAAUUGGCCCCGAACUGGGGUUUAGGGAAUCUAGCAUUUGUUCCCACGGUGUCCUUAUUAGCCAGGCAACCUGGGCAGAGUCUAAACCUCAAGGAUCUUCCUGUUCUCAUCUGUCAAAUUGGGCUAAUGAUGUCAGUCCACCCCACGAGUCUCUCUACUGUCAGUGUCCCAGUGCUACGGUUCAAACCUGACCUUCGGAGAUGGAUUGACAGAACGUGUGGAGGGAGAGAAUGCAGGCACGAUGUCUCCAGGGCAACUCUGUGGGCUGAGCACAACGGCCUGGCCGUGGCUCAGUGCAGUGCCUUGGGAACAGACACAAUACACUCCAAGUCCAAGGCUAGUUCCUGCACUUCUACUGGAGAACGUGAAAUGAGCAGUGAAGGCCAAACUAAAAACAGGAAGACCAGGCAGAAGAUUCUAGCAGUGGCCCAGGAGGCCCCAUGUACCAGAGAUGGAAGCCAGCAUUCCUUAGCAGACUAUUCAAGGCUCUCCGCCAUCUGGUCCUCUUCCCUUCAGACCUCACCUCCCAUUCUUCUUUCCAAGUCUCUAACCCUCUAAUGAUGCCAGCCACCUGCUAGUUGCAGAACCCACCACACCUUGAUUUGUUCUGUUUUCUACCUGCUGUUAGCUUCCCAUUUUCUCUCCCUAGAUGUAGUCUGUGCAGUGUCCAGGGCCCAGGAAACACUAUUGUCUUCUUGAAGCCUUCUCCGCUGUCUCUCGUAAUUAAUUCCACCUCCUCUGCUGUUCCACAUUUACCUCUGCUUAGCACCUGUCCUAGCCAGCCUUGGGUUAUCACUUCUUGUUUACAUGUUUUCUUACUAUGCUCAGCUCCUUACAGGCAGGAACUCUGAUUCCUUUGUGCUCUUUACCUAGGGGCAUAUAAUAAAUAUUGGCUGAAUGACUCUAUGGAGGCCUUGGGAUUGAUAGCGUCCCUCUUUUAGUCUUGCACUGGGACCUGGAGCAUUCAUGGCAACCUGGAGCAGGAAGCCGGGCUGGGACCGGGGUGAGGUGGGUGAGGAGUCUAGAGCAUAAAAUGUAAGUUGCUCUCAGUUGCUGACCUUGUGCUUGCCUGACCCUGGGAGCUAGUCCCUCUCAGGUGCCUCCCUUGCCUCACCCUCAGCCCUGGCAGGAAGGAAAGAUUGGAGUCUUGGGAUUCAGAAUGAGUCCAUCAAAAGGGACAGGCCAGGUUCCAUAGGGUCCAGUUACUCCUCUCAUACUGACGCAAGCCCAACCCAUGCCCAAGGGCCCCCAGCACGACUCCAGAGCCCACUGGUACCAGAAAAGUGGCAGGUCCCAACAGUCGGGAAUCUGGAAUGGCUGACAUGCGGAACUUUGUAAACAGGCCGAAGGAGUGCGGUCUCUUGAAGGGAACAAGGUACCAGCCUUUGUUCUGGGGCAUGGAACCAGAUAACAGCCUUAGGAUAUGCAGUUAGUAAAAAUAGAGCCCCCAGCUAUUGACUGGGGUCUAGGGCAAGAUCAAGUUUUAUGGACCGUGGCAUUAGGGUAACUAGUUGGAACUUAUGAUGGGGCCACGUUUCCGUAGGGCUGACCUCAGUGGGGUUGGGGAUGUGGAAGGAGGAGAAAGGGCUACAUUCUAGUGGGAGUGGGGUCAGUGAGGACAUUUAGCCCGUGUCUCCGAGAACGUUGUGCCCUGUGUCCGGUGGUAUCAAAGGAGAGUGGGGGUGUCAUGUGAAGCCCAGAACUCAGCUCUUGGCUCUGGAGCUCAUCUCUGAGGGUGUGAAAGACUCCAGGUCAACCUGAAGAAAGGAAAGGCAGAGGAAGGGAGAGAGGGUGAAGCAGAGGCUGUUUAAAUAUGGCCACAGUACAUCGGGAUUGUUUUGGGGAGGGGGUUGUGCUGGGCUCUCAUAAAGAGUAGCCAACUGGUCCAGUUAUGGGGCUCUAGCAGUGGUCCCCUAUUGCCAGGUCAUGGACUAACGGAGUCAAAAUAUCCAGGGACUCAUGUUAACAGUGUAGUUUCUGGGUUUCAAACCUUGGGGAUUCUGGUUCAGUCGGUCUACAGUUCAUUUUAACUGAGGGCUCUCAGAGUGAUGUGCAGCCUGAUUUCGGAGCCACUGGCUGGGAACAGACUUAAAGGAGGCGAAGAGGCUGGCAGCUCAUUUGGAGUCAGUCCCAUGUUUUCCUUUAGAACUCAUUUAAGCCAUGAACGACCUCAAUAAGAAAGCCAAUGAUAGGUAAAGCAGGGCAUGAUUCUAAGACACAUUAAGUGUUUCUAGCUGUUAUACUUCCUUUUCUCUGUAUCAUCCCUUUUUGGGUAUCCUAGUGCUCAUUCUCCUGCUUUGAUGUAGUGGUUUUCAAACUUUAACAUGCAAAAGGACCCCCCACCUCCUCAGAGAGCUUGAGUAAACACACGUGCCUGGCCCUCAUCCCCAGAGUUUCAGAGUAAGUGGGUCUGGGCUGGAGAAGGGCUUGAUUAUUGCACUUCUAACAACUUUCCAAGUGAUGCUAAUGCUCCUGGUCCAGGGAACACACUUUGAGAAACAUUGAUCCAGUGGAACAAAAGGUAGAACAUACACAAAGAAUGAGAAGAAGGGGUAGAAGAAAUAUUUCAAGUAAUAACGACCAAGAAUUUUCCAAAACUAAUGACAGAUACCAAACCACAGAUCCAGGAAGCUCAUAAUAGGUAGGAUAAGUAUCAAAAAAUGUACACCUCUGUGUAUUAUAUUUAAUAUGCAGAAAAUCAAAUAUAAAGAGAAAAUAUUGAAAAAUGCCAGAGAGUGUAAAUACCUUCUCACAGAAGAACAAGGAUAAGAGUUAAAAUGGAGUUGUCCGAAAUCACACAAACAAGAGGGCAGUGUCAUCCUUAAAGUGUUGAAAGAAAAGAACCUCACCAACCUCGAAUUCUAUAUCCAGUGAAAUCAUCCUUCACAAGUGAAGGAAAAAUAAAGGCUUUCUUCGACAAAAGCUGAGGGAAUUCAUGGCCGGUGACUUGCUCCAAAAGAGAUGUUAAAAGAUAUUCUCAGCGAGAAGGAAAAUGAUAUGUCAGAAAUUGGAUCUAUAACAAGAAUGAAUGAGCAUCAGAGAAGGAAGAAGUGCAGAAGCCUUCCAGAUGGGCCAGAGUGAGAAAACACAGGUCAGUACACAUCAUGCAGCUGAGAGCAGAAGACAAGCUGGGAGCAAUCGACAGCUGGAGGGAGAGAACUCACGGUGGCCAUUUUGGAUUUGGGUUGUUGGAACUACUUCUGAGAAGGGCGCUUCUGACCCUGUCUCUCCAAUGCACCAACAACUAAAUGGACAAGAAAACAUAUAAUCGGUUGUUCUGUGACAUUUGGUAUGAAAUAUUUGAUUGAUGCUUUGUCUUGAUGCUCAGAUGCUAGGUAUUCUGGUAUUUCAACAGGUGAAUAUUGAUGCAUUUAUGUUAGAGAUUGGCAAAUAAUGAGCUGAGGAAUAUUAAUGUUAUGCAAUAUCAAGAGAUGCUCUAUGCAGUGUGCUGAGUAUGUAUGUGUCGUGAGAAGGGAAUGUAGGGAAAGCCAGGUUCUGAACCAGGUUAAAUAAAGUGAACAGACUCCUG
Neofelis nebulosa (Clouded leopard) is the source of this 4279-nucleotide long non-coding RNA. RefSeq lists it as uncharacterized. The record is from RefSeq and is a predicted model, not a curated record. The transcript is spliced from 8 exons. Lineage: Eukaryota; Metazoa; Chordata; Mammalia; Carnivora; Felidae.